GGCCGUGUGGCGUAAUGGCAACGCAUCUGACUACGAAUCAGGAGAUUGCAGGUUCGACCCCUGUCUCGGUCA
Non-coding RNA from Armillaria mellea, 72 nucleotides. Lineage: Eukaryota; Fungi; Basidiomycota; Agaricomycetes; Agaricales; Physalacriaceae. The record is from the annotation of a GenBank genome assembly.